AGGCAGUUGAGAAAUCCUGGAAUCUCUUCCUAAAGGGAAUCCUACCUGAGUGCUGCGGCCAAUGCUUCAGUCCCAAUGAAUCGAAAUACACUGGCUGGUGCACCUACAACUUCAACGGCUGCGGCGAAAAGGCAUUCCCGGCGAAGGAGAAGUACUUCUGCUGCUGUAACGAAUCAUGCAUCUGCUGCCUCCCGAGGGUUUAGAACGAAUCAUAUAUAUGUAUGCUCAAGCUUCUAAUGAUCUUAGAGAUUUGUGCACCAGCAAUAAGUGUUGCUUCCCAGCUCAAGCGUUCAUUCCAGUAACACCGGUCGCAGUGCUUUGCUAAGAAUAUGGUUGUCUUCAUUGAAAUAAUUCAGCGACAACACCCUAAUUGAGACCUCAUAUUGUAUAACCGAUUCCAAAGUUUGAGUGUUGAGAGAUAGGUUUAAACUAUUUGAGCUUCUUCUCUUUGAUUAGUGAGAUUUGCAGAAAGAGCUUUAUGAAUAAAAAUUAUUGAUAGGACAAUUAAAUAAAACGUG
Molecule: long non-coding RNA, 518 nt
Organism: Hyalella azteca
Lineage: Eukaryota; Metazoa; Arthropoda; Malacostraca; Amphipoda; Hyalellidae
Exons: 2
Source: RefSeq, a predicted model, not a curated record